CAAUAGCGUAUAUUAACGUUGUUGCAGUUAAAAAGCUCGUAGUUGGAUUUCUGGAGGGAGCGUCGGCCCGUAUUUACGAGUGCGUGACGUCUCUGUCCAUCCUUGCGGGAAGGCACGGCAUUGAUUUGUUGUGUCGGAUCGCAUCAUUUACUGUGAAAAAAUUAGAGUGUUCAAAGCAGGCUUUCGCUUGAAUACAUUAGCAUGGAAUAAUAAGAUAGGACUUUGGCGCUAUUUUGUUGGUUGAGCCUAAAGUAAUGAUUAAUAGGGAUAGUUGGGGGCACCUGUAUUGCGUUGUCAGAGGUGAAAUUCUUGGAUUUACGCAAGACAAACAGCUGCGAAAGCGUCUGCCAAGGAUGUUUUCAUUAA
RNAcentral lists this ribosomal RNA (366 nucleotides) under uncultured eukaryote. RNAcentral's name for it is "partial 18S ribosomal RNA". It matches the Rfam family "Eukaryotic small subunit ribosomal RNA", at positions 592 to 976 of the family's 1831-position model. The record is from RNAcentral.